Molecule: ribosomal RNA, 253 nt
Filed under: uncultured bacterium
Lineage: Bacteria
Description: partial 16S ribosomal RNA
Rfam family: Bacterial small subunit ribosomal RNA
Source: RNAcentral
UACGUAGGCAGCGAGCGUUGUUCGGAGUUACUGGGCGUAAAGCGUGCGUAGGCGGUAGUCCAAGUCUGGUGUGAAAUCUCCCGGCUUAACUGGGAGGGUGCGCCGGAAACUGGGCUGCUGGAGUGCGGGAGAGGUAAGCGGAAUUCCCGGUGUAGCGGUGAAAUGCGUAGAUAUCGGGAGGAACCCCUGCGGUGUAGACGGCUUACUGGACCGCCACUGACGCUGAGGCACGAAAGCCAGGGGAGCAAACGGG